AUGGAAGACUACUUUGCGGAGGUACCUACAUACCCUCCUCGUCUCUUCCGCAGAAGGUACCGAAUGCGGCGUAGUUUGUUUGUGAAGAUUGUCACCGAUUUUGAGGCCGCCUCCUAUUACUUUAAACGUCGUAGAUCCGCCGCCGGUAUCAUGGGGUUUAUUGCAUAUCAAAAGAUAUCGGCGGCAAUGCGGGUACUCGCUUAUGGCAUUUAA
Molecule: ribosomal RNA, 213 nt
Filed under: Triticum aestivum (bread wheat)
Lineage: Eukaryota; Viridiplantae; Streptophyta; Magnoliopsida; Poales; Poaceae
Description: partial small subunit ribosomal RNA
Source: RNAcentral